This 253-nucleotide ribosomal RNA is filed under the name uncultured bacterium. RNAcentral's name for it is "partial 16S ribosomal RNA". It matches the Rfam family "Bacterial small subunit ribosomal RNA", at positions 524 to 776 of the family's 1533-position model. The record is from RNAcentral.
UACGGGGGGGGCAAGCGUUGUUCGGAAUUACUGGGCGUAAAGGGCGCGUAGGCGGUUGGAUAAGUCAGCUGUGAAAACCAUGGGCUUAACUCGUGGCCUGCAGUUGAGACUGUCUGGCUUGAGUGUGGGAGAGGAGAGUGGAAUUCCUGGUGUAGCGGUGAAAUGCGUAGAUAUCAGGAGGAACACCGGUGGCGAAGGCGGCUCUCUGGACCACAACUGACGCUGAGGCGCGAAAGCUAGGGGAGCAAACAGG